RNAcentral lists this ribosomal RNA (253 nucleotides) under uncultured bacterium. RNAcentral's name for it is "partial 16S ribosomal RNA". It matches the Rfam family "Bacterial small subunit ribosomal RNA", at positions 524 to 776 of the family's 1533-position model. The record is from RNAcentral.
UACGGGGGGGGUAAGCGUUGUUCGGAAUUACUGGGCGUAAAGGGCUCGUAGGCGGCCAACUAAGUCAUACGUGAAAUCCCUCAGCUUAACUGGGGAACUGCGUGUGAUACUGGAUGGCUUGGAUUUGGGAGAGGGAUGCGGAAUUCCGGGUGUAGCGGUGGAAUGCGUAGAGAUCCGGAGGAAUACCAGAGGCGAAGGCGGCCAACUGGGCUUGUUCUGACGCUGAGGUGCGAAAGCGUGGGGAGCGAACAGG